Xylaria scruposa is the source of this 93-nucleotide non-coding RNA. Lineage: Eukaryota; Fungi; Ascomycota; Sordariomycetes; Xylariales; Xylariaceae. The record is from the annotation of a GenBank genome assembly.
GGCUAGGUGGCGGAGUGGUUAACGCGGUAGACUCGAAGGAAUUCGUGCUAUCUACUUCCUUCGGGAGCGUCUGUUCGAAUCAGGCCCUAGUCG